GCUUAAUACAUGCAAGUCGUACGGGAUCCGAGGUAGCAAUACUUUGGUGAGAGUGGCGCACGGGUGCGUAACACGUAUGCAACCUACCUAUAACCGGGACACAACCUCGAGAAAUUGUGGCUAAUAUCCCAUAACACUGCGAAGUGGCAUCAUUUUGCAGUUAAAACUCCGGUGGUUAUAGAUGGGCAUGCGCGACAUUAGCUAGUUGGUGAGGUAACGGCCCACCAAGGCUACGAUGUCUAGGGGUUCUGAGAGGAUUAUCCCCCACACUGGUACUGAGACACGGACCAGACUCCUACGGGAGGCAGCAGUAAGGAAUAUUGGUCAAUGGGCGCAAGCCUGAACCAGCCAUGCCGCGUGAAGGAUGACGGCCCUAUGGGUUGUAAACUUCUUUUGUACGGGAAAAAACCACCGGUCGUGUAUCGGUGCUGAUGGUACCGUAAGAAUAAGCAUCGGCUAACUCCGUGCCAGCAGCCGCGGUAAUACGGAGGAUGCAAGCGUUAUCCGGAUUCAUUGGGUUUAAAGGGUGCGCAGGCGGAAUAAUAAGUCAGCGGUGAAAGCCUACAGCUUAACUGUAGAACUGCCAUUGAUACUGUUAUUCUUGAGUG
Molecule: ribosomal RNA, 608 nt
Filed under: uncultured Bacteroidota bacterium
Lineage: Bacteria; Pseudomonadati; Bacteroidota
Description: bacterial SSU rRNA
Rfam family: Bacterial small subunit ribosomal RNA
Source: RNAcentral